CUGAAAUACACUUUUGAGGGGAGCAGCAGCCUCCAGCUUUCAAGUCACCUUUAGCCUUGAACCUUCCCUGCUAAGACUCCUGGCAUUUGUGGAGCAGAGGCAAGCCACAUCCUCCAUGCCAUGAUCUUGAGGACAAAGUCCCUUAAGGAAGCAAAACCCAAGGAAAGAACCAGGAAACAUGACUCAAUAGUCUUUUGACCAUGACUCAAUCAAGGACAGCAACUGAAAGAAAAUAAUGAACCUCACCUAGAAGGCCAGAAAUUGUACAGAAUCAACCUGUCCUGUCUGUACUUUCUUCUAGACCUGGUGAUCAUCACUGAAAAGUGGUUGAUGAAACAACUAAAAAUGAAAGGAACAUGAAACCAGAU
Long non-coding RNA from Talpa occidentalis (Iberian mole), 368 nucleotides. RefSeq lists it as uncharacterized. The record is from RefSeq and is a predicted model, not a curated record. NCBI's taxonomy places the organism in Eukaryota, Metazoa, Chordata, Mammalia, Eulipotyphla, Talpidae. The transcript is spliced from 4 exons.